CUUUUUAUAAUUGAAAAAAAUCUUAAUAAAAAGCUGUAGGUACAAAUUAACUUUCUGCACAUUUUCCUUGUACACAUUUGCCUUCAGUGUGUUACCUCCCCUGGAGUCAACAACAAAGAGUCAAUGGAGCAGCUGACAAAGCAGGAGUUCAUGGCAGGAGAGGGAAAAUAUUUCUAUAGAAUCUCAAGAAAGCCUUUCCAUGUGGGCUGAUCCCAAAUACAUAAGACAGAAUAGAGGCUUUUGAAAUGAACCUUUAAAAAUAAUGGGAUGCCCUGAAAAUAAUAUUUAACCCAGUGACUGCUCAUCAAAGUGAGAACAAUGAUAUGCUGGAAUGGCACCUGGAGCGCGUUCCGUGGUCCGCUCAGCUGGCUACCACAGAGCGUCUCAGGAGCAAGCUCCGGGCUUUCAAUGCCUUUGUGUAAGUGUUCACGUUCAGCUUAGCCAUGAGAUAUGGCUCCUACAUUUUUACACAGUAGAAAAGAAAGCCAUUUUCCAAGUUUGUUUCCACAGCAACAACAUUCCAUAUUGUCUUCUUCUGUAUCUAAACAUGAUUAAGCUUCAACCACAGGGAGUGGAAUAAAAUCCUUGCAAAAUAACCAGUUGAGACCGACUGUGAGGGUGAAAUCUCCAGUGGUCAUAUUCAUUCAACAAGCAGUGAUUACCAGCCUACCCUAGGAACUGUGCAAGGCCCUGGAGAUGUGGGGUUGGAGAAGACCCAAGGCCUGCCCUCUGGAUCGUCCGAGACUGGUCUCUCUCUGGUUUUCAAAUUGUUUCUUUUUUCCCGUGAUACAAAGACAACCCGCGCGUCAGCUUGUCCUCUUCAAGGGCAGCCUUCCUCUAACAGAUUUGGGGCAAAGGGAAGAGUUUGUUCUUGGCAUCCGUGUGGCAGCUCUGGGGGCCUGGUGCACACCUCCUGCCUCUCCUGUCUCUACUCUAGAUCUGGGUGCCCUCCCUCUCUCUUGGGGUGCUGCCAGCCCACACUGGCCCCAAUGGAUGGGUCACAUUGCAAAGACAGUGUUUCCCUUUAGUGCUCAAAUCUCUAGCUCCCAACCCC
Molecule: long non-coding RNA, 1054 nt
Organism: Mirounga angustirostris (Northern elephant seal)
Lineage: Eukaryota; Metazoa; Chordata; Mammalia; Carnivora; Phocidae
Exons: 4
Source: RefSeq, a predicted model, not a curated record